This 1066-nucleotide long non-coding RNA is filed under the name Mus caroli (Ryukyu mouse). RNAcentral describes it as "predicted gene 28722 (MGP_CAROLIEiJ_G0004447.1)". Lineage: Eukaryota; Metazoa; Chordata; Mammalia; Rodentia; Muridae. The record is from RNAcentral.
AAAAUCUGGCUCCAGUUGAGUCACAGCAACAGGUGGCUGUUCCUCUAAACAACAAGGGUUGCUAGCACAUGAAUGCUAGAGGUAUUCAAAUACCUCUUCAGAAAAACAGACUUCAACGCAGCAGCAUGUCUGCCGGAAAGGCAGCCCAGGCCUUCCUGACUGUAAUCAAGAGCUGAUGCCAAGGCAGGGAAGUUACACACAGCCAGAGGAAUUUCAAGGUCGGGAGAACAAACCUAUCCUGGGGAAGCCAGCAAAUUCCUUGCUGAUGGAGCCCUCUGAUUUAUCUGGAAGGCCGAACCAGAGAGGAAAUCACAGGCCUGCAUAGCAUAGCGUGAUAACCUUGGGUUAGUGCAAUAUAAACCUCAGGCGUUAUUUUCUGCAUUCCCGCCUGAAGGGACCUUGGUGUGUUAGUACUGCAAACAAAAGCCAAUGCUGUGUGACUGGUACCCAGAUGUCCUGGAGGCUGCUAGGCUUGGAGAAGACUUGUUUGAGGACCUAGGCAUCUGCAGCUCUACUCUGCUCUGCUCACACAGAGCUGAUACAUCUUAGCAAGCAACAGACAACCUGAGAGAGCAUGAAUCCCUUCUCUAUCUGGGGCAAAGCUUUUCCCUUCAAGAUGGCUUUAAGGCACAAUUUGGUUGAUUUUAAGCAGACACGUCAGAUGAUCAGACACUGAAGAGUCACACUAGAAAGCUGAUGAUUUUUCUUGGUACGCUGUCAUGCAGAUGUAGGUGGAGAGGUGGCUCAGAGGUUAAGAGCACUGGCUGCUCUUGUAGAGGACCCAGGUUCAGUUCCCAGCACCCACAUCAGGUGGCUCACAACCAUCUGUAACCGCAGCUCCAGGGAGCCAAAGUCUCUGACCUCUGAGGCUGUCAUACAGAGACACUUAUAUACCUAUAAAUAAAUAAACAUAAGUUUUUAGAAAGCAAUGUUGUUUGGGCAGUGUGUCUCCACAUUUUUAGUAUUUUUUUUUCAAGAUCCUGAAAGAGUUAGUAGUAUUAGUUCUGCAUCCUUCAAAAUAUGUCUUUCUAAAAACCUGUGAAAAUACAGCCUGAGGUUUUUGUGC